Molecule: ribosomal RNA, 67 nt
Filed under: Olea europaea subsp. europaea
Lineage: Eukaryota; Viridiplantae; Streptophyta; Magnoliopsida; Lamiales; Oleaceae
Description: PK-G12rRNA
Source: RNAcentral
AGCGAAAUUCCUUGGGAGCUCGACUGCAAGAUCCACCCGUCUAGCAGGGACGAAAAUUGGCCUUAGU